RNAcentral lists this ribosomal RNA (37 nucleotides) under Phytophthora tentaculata. Its description in RNAcentral is "partial 28S ribosomal RNA". The record is from RNAcentral. Lineage: Eukaryota; Oomycota; Peronosporomycetes; Peronosporales; Peronosporaceae.
UUGGACCUGAUAUCAGGCAAGAUUACCCGCUGCUGAA